CACGGCCCGAACUCCUACGGGAGGCAGCAGUGGGGAAUAUUGGACAAUGGGCGCAAGCCUGAUCCAGCCAUGCCGCGUGUGUGAAGAAGGCCCUCGGGUUGUAAAGCACUUUCAGUGGGGAAGAAAGCCUUCCGGUUAAUACCCGGGAGGAAGGACAUCACCCACAGAAGAAGCACCGGCUAACUCCGUGCCAGCAGCCGCGGUAAUACGGAGGGUGCGAGCGUUAAUCGGAAUUACUGGGCGUAAAGCGCGCGUAGGUGGCUUGAUAAGCCGGUUGUGAAAGCCCCGGGCUCAACCUGGGAACGGCAUCCGGAACUGUCAGGCUAGAGUGCAGGAGAGGAAGGUAGAAUUCCCGGUGUAGCGGUGAAAUGCGUAGAGAUCGGGAGGAAUACCAGUGGCGAAGGCGGCCUUCUGGACUGACACUGACACUGAGGUGCGAAAGCGUGGGUAGCAAACAGGAUUAGAUACCCUGGUAGUCCACGCCGUAAACGAUGUCGACUAGCCGUUGGGUCCUUCGCGGACUUUGUGGCGCAGUUAACGCGAUAAGUCGACCGCCUGGGGAGUACGGCCGCAAGGUUAAAACUCAAAUGAAUUGACGGGGGCCCGCACAAGCGGUGGAGCAUGUGGUUUAAUUCGAUGCAACGCGAAGAACCUUACCUACCCUUGACAUCCUCGGAAUCCGCCAGAGAUGGCGGAGUGCCUUCGGGAACCGAGAGACAGGUGCUGCAUGGCUGUCGUCAGCUCGUGUUGUGAAAUGUUGGGUUAAGUCCCGUAACGAGCGCAACCCUUGUCCCUAUUUGCCAGCGAUUCGGUCGGGAACUCUAGGGAGACUGCCGGUGACAAACCGGAGGAAGGUGGGGACGACGUCAAGUCAUCAUGGCCCUUACGGGUAGGGCUACACACGUGCUAC
Molecule: ribosomal RNA, 910 nt
Filed under: uncultured Halomonas sp.
Lineage: Bacteria; Pseudomonadati; Pseudomonadota; Gammaproteobacteria; Oceanospirillales; Halomonadaceae
Description: bacterial SSU rRNA
Rfam family: Bacterial small subunit ribosomal RNA
Source: RNAcentral